ACUUUUCUUCUUGUCCUUUUUCCUUGUUUGCUUGCCGGGCCUUUCACAAUUUCCCUUACGACUCGGCAUUUCUCCAAAUCAAAUGAACCCGUUUUGGGAUAAUAUUGAUAUUUUUUUCUUUCUUUCUUUGUCCACUUAUACCAUUUCUCCAAAAAAAAAAAAAACCCACACCAGGUCCUUCUUCAGGAAUGGGUAUUUACCUUGCAGAUACGCGUAGUAUCUGGCUUCGUUGGAGUACGGUCGCUAGGAGCCUCUCUAUAUUCCGUUGCCAUGGUGUUUUAUGGUUGUUUAUUUAACGAACGAGCUGCGUGUAACGUUGGGCUAAGUGGAAUUUUUUUUUUUUCUUCUAUGUGUUGGUCCUUUUUUUUUACGUCACGUUUCCCCCCCACCUGUUUUUAAAUAUUCUACGUGGCUACUCUACCCUCUCUAUCAGUGUGUGUGUGUGGGGGGAGGAGGGUAGUUCCUGUGUGAUACAAGGAAACUCGAUUCUAUUCUAUGUAUGGUCAGUCACUUUUCUUUUAGUUUAACCCCGUUCGUUAAACCACGCUACCGUGUAGAAGGAACGACAUUAUACAUGUACUUAAUGUAAAAUAGGUUUCGCUCUCACUGGAAUAUCUACGAUCUCCGUCUAUUCUUUCAUUAUGGGUGUAUUGGUACAGAUAUUUCAUAUGUGGAUUUUAAUAAUAAUUUUUAAUAAUAAUAAUUGAUUACUAUCAAACGUUCUUUUUUUUAUAAUAAUCCAAAAUCUAAUCUCACACACCUAUUAUCGUGUUGUUGAUUUGGAUAAAACCCAUACACUAUGAUCAAAUGCUUUUAGUUCAAAAACAUUUUUUUGGGGGGGGGGCCCAUCUUCCAAUUUUCCAAUCUCACCAAUUUAUAAAUCAUACAUUUAGAACACAAUACAGAAAUAAACACAAUUAUAGUCCUCCACACAGGUCAGGACAGAAAUAAACAAAAUUAUAGUCCUCCACACAGGUCAGGACAGAAAUAAACAAAACAUUGUGUACACAAAACCAGCAUUUUCAACAGGCACGACGGCCUAAACCACAGCUUUAUACCAAGUUUCACACCAGGUCCUGUAACAGUCAGAAAUUCCUAACUAUACACCCGAAAUGGUUUGUGUCCAUAGAUCAACAUUCACAUGUUAACACACCACGGGCUUCUAUAAAUAUAGGUAUCUAUCCACUUCCAUAAUAAUUUACCAACUCAGUUGAGGUGAGUUGACACUUGCAUACUGGAACGAAUCAUCAGAGACACAGUGUUUUAAAUAAAAUUAAAAUAAUCUCAGACUUUUUAGAUUAUAACAGGCGUCUGUUUACCUUGUUAAUUUGAUGUGCAAACACAGUGGGCGAUGGUCCUCCCAGCAGCAAUGGUCACUUACUCCUGGUUAGCUCGCCCAAAAAAUGUUGAAAGGGGGGAGAGAUCCUUUUGCACAGAGUGGUAUACAAGAAGUCCAGUUGGGGAAAUAUGAGAAGAACACAGGCUCCUUUAAAAAAAUUAAAAAAGUUUUUUUAAACUCUUCGUUUAGUUAUAAAUGCAAUCGCAGACAGGAGUUCACAUACAAAAGUACCUCCAGUAAUCUGUAAGGAAAGUUCUGCGAGUGAUCAAACCCAAACACUGGUCCCUAUUUUAAAUUUAUACCAGUUGAUCACACACAUAUGGUGCGAUCAGCCUACACACUUCCUAUGCUAACGCUUUUUCAUAAAAGCGGUUUUUGUACAGUCAUCUUCUAAGACACACGGAUACAUUUGAAUUUAUAACAUGAGCAGAGAACGUUGCAGCUGGAGGGGCGGGGGGGUUUCCCCCAUUGCGGUGCGUUAGUAACUUCCUG
Molecule: long non-coding RNA, 1831 nt
Filed under: Salmo salar (Atlantic salmon)
Lineage: Eukaryota; Metazoa; Chordata; Actinopteri; Salmoniformes; Salmonidae
Description: lncRNA (ENSSSAG00000117497.1)
Source: RNAcentral